AUUGAACGCUGGCGGCAGGCCUAACACAUGCAAGUCGAGCGGAUGAAGGGAGCUUGCUCCUGGAUUCAGCGGCGGACGGGUGAGUAAUGCCUAGGAAUCUGCCUGGUAGUGGGGGAUAACGUCCGGAAACGGGCGCUAAUACCGCAUACGUCCUGAGGGAGAAAGUGGGGGAUCUUCGGACCUCACGCUAUCAGAUGAGCCUAGGUCGGAUUAGCUAGUUGGUGGGGUAAAGGCCUACCAAGGCGACGAUCCGUAACUGGUCUGAGAGGAUGAUCAGUCACACUGGAACUGAGACACGGUCCAGACUCCUACGGGAGGCAGCAGUGGGGAAUAUUGGACGAUGGGCGAAAGCCUGAUCCAGCCAUGCCGCGUGUGUGAAGAAGGUCUUCGGAUGGUAAAGCACUUUAAGUUGGGAGGAAGGGCAGUACGUUAAUACCUUGCUGUUUUGACGUUACCAACAGAAUAAGCACCGGCUAACUUCGUG
RNAcentral lists this ribosomal RNA (484 nucleotides) under uncultured bacterium. RNAcentral describes it as "partial 16S ribosomal RNA". It matches the Rfam family "Bacterial small subunit ribosomal RNA", at positions 30 to 507 of the family's 1533-position model. The record is from RNAcentral.